This 476-nucleotide ribosomal RNA is filed under the name uncultured bacterium. Its description in RNAcentral is "bacterial SSU rRNA". It matches the Rfam family "Bacterial small subunit ribosomal RNA", at positions 26 to 518 of the family's 1533-position model. The record is from RNAcentral.
UAGGACGAACGCUGGCGGCGUGCCUAACACAUGCAAGUCGAGCGAGGAGAUCCUUCGGGAUGAUCCUAGCGGCGGACGGGUGAGUAACACGUGGGCAACCUGCCUCAUAGAGAGGAAUAGCCUUCCGAAAGGGAGAUUAAUACCUCAUAACAUUGCAGUUUCGCAUGGAACAGCAAUUAAAGGAGCAAUCCACUAUGAGAUGGGCCCGCGGCGCAUUAGCUAGUUGGUGAGGUAACGGCUCACCAAGGCGACGAUGCGUAGCCGACCUGAGAGGGUGAUCGGCCACAUUGGGACUGAGACACGGCCCAGACUCCUACGGGAGGCAGCAGUGGGGAAUAUUGCACAAUGGGGGAAACCCUGAUGCAAGCAACGCCGCGUGAGUGAUGACGGCCUUCGGGUUGUAAAGCUCUGUCUUCAGGGACGAUAAUGACGGUACCUGAGGAGGAAGCCACGGCUAACUACGUGCCAGCCGCUGC